AGGAUUAUAGUUUAUAUAAAACAUUUGAUUUGCACUCAAAAAAUAUUGAAUUAAACAAAUUUCAAUUUAUCUUA
Molecule: transfer RNA, 74 nt
Filed under: Notonagemia analis scribae
Lineage: Eukaryota; Metazoa; Arthropoda; Insecta; Lepidoptera; Sphingidae
Description: tRNA-Ala
Source: RNAcentral